Molecule: long non-coding RNA, 2154 nt
Organism: Prunus persica (peach)
Lineage: Eukaryota; Viridiplantae; Streptophyta; Magnoliopsida; Rosales; Rosaceae
Exons: 6
Source: RefSeq, a predicted model, not a curated record
ACAUUCAAAAUUCUGAAAAUAUCUUUGAUACACUAAAAUUUUAAUACGCACCGAUUAUAAUUAAAGUAGGGUAUAAUUGUAAAAGAACAAUUAUGAAGAACUGAAAAAGAAAAGAAAAAAGUUUAACAGACCCCACUCCAGAGCAGUUGCUCUUCCUAUCAGUUUCUUCUGGCACGUUCUAUUCAAAAAAGAUGAAAGCAAAACUGAAACCAUCCAAAACCCACCAUGGCCCUCAAACUUGGAAACGCAUUUCCUCCCCUCCCAUGUUUCGCAGAGCAAGAAUCCUCAUCUACUCACGGCAUAAAAAGGGAGGAAGAUUGAAGGAAAAAGAGCUGAAGCAAUCAAUAUUGGAACCCCCAGUGUGCUCAUCAAUCUGUAUUUGUAAGAUGUUGCAGUGUAUGAGAGAGGCAAGAAAAUUAUGGUAUGAUGCUGUUAACACCGAUCGACGUUUACUCAGAUUCUAAAUCAGACGGUCCAUCUCGCAUCACCAACCCUCAGUCUCAGGUAAUAUGACGCCCUGCCUCUGCUUCUUUCAUAUUUGAACUGUUUCCUCUGUAAGGGUUUAGUUGGAUUAUUCACUUGCAUAUAUUCAGCUUAGCAUUCCAAGUGUUUGCUAAAAUGCCAAAGUUGAUUUUAGUUUGAACACUUUGUUGGUCGGUUUUAUUUUGUAUUAUCUAAUUUUGCUUUGUAAAUAAGAAUUGGGAAAUGAACAGAAAUUAGAAAAGCUUAGUUCUUUAUAAUAAAACUAAUUUCAAUGAACGCAACAAUUCCAUAAUGAGGGUGAAAAUGAAAUUAGAAGUGAGAACAGUGAAGAGAUUUGUACGUUGUAUCAAUUUGUAAGAUUUUUUAGUGUUGGUGAAAUUUUGUCUUUUUAGUUCUUUUUCUUUGUUAUAUUGACUUUUUGAAUAAUAGUUUCAUGUACGAGUAUGCGAUGCUUCAAGAUGCCAAGUCCGGUCAAGUUUUCAUGUGUUUAGGCUUGCACAAAACUUAAGUAUUUCUUCCUAGGAUUCAUGUUAUAUGGAUAUUAGCCUCUCACCCUGUGCUUUGCAUGCUUGAGACCUUUUCAACAGAACCGAAGUUUGAGAAAACUGUUGGAAUCAGUGGAGUGGGGAAUAAAUUUUAAAACUCAACGAUGUGUGGUCCAGUCAUUAGUUCAAGAACUCAAAGUCCAGAAUUGCUUCAAUGACUCCGGUUCCAUGCUUUCUGUUUAUUAAUCUUCAAUAUGCAGAGCAUCAAUUCUUUAAAUGAUGGAAUCGCCUCUCACCUCGCACUCUCUGAAGCAUAAUGGUUCCAGAAGACGCAGAGGAAACUAUAUUUAAGGAAUUAAAAGCAAAAUGAGGAUCAGAGUUGGAGGGAGUUCAAGAAUAACAUGAAAGCAAAACAAAAGGGAAGCAUCAUGGUGAGUGAUAAGCACUGAUCAUGACUUCUUCGAGCAGUGAACCAAAGUCGCUCUUCUUCAUGGACAAGUCCAAAGGUACCUUAUUCAUACCUUUGUUUUUUUGUUUUUUGUUUUGAGUGACAUAUUUGUCUUUUUUCGCUUUCAGUAAUUGAAUUGCUUCUGUAUAACAAAUCCCAAUUUCAGGUCAGCUGUUGGAAUCUGGCAUUUUUUUAAUGGGUUUUAUUUUUCGUUGGUAGAAUGCAUUUUAUUGUGGUUUUAGUGUUUAGGGUGAUAGAGUGGUGGAGAUGCAGAUGGAGGUGUCGGUAUUUUGGCCAUGUUAAAAGGAAAUUGCAAGUUUAUGGUUUGGUUUAAACAAUUGUGUGGCUGUGUGUUCGCUUUAGGUGAAGGUGUCGUGAUGCAAAAGAAACUAUGUUUCUAGCUUUAGAUUCUGUGUUUCUAUGUACUAAUUGGGCGAUUUCUCAAUGUUUCUAUUAGGUUAUUUCAUAUGGAUGCUAGAAGGGACAUAAUUUUCUGUGGUGGCAAUUACACUGUGAGCUUUUCUCAUUCUUCCUGUCAAAAAUUAUAUAAACUGUGUAAUUUGAUUUCUGAAAACUGCUUUUGUCCCUAAUGAUGUUUAUAUGGAUGCUAUAAGUUUUGGUGAAAAUUAAAGUUUGUGAAGAAUGUCAUCUCUCAUUUAUGGCAGUUGCUUUAUCCAGGAAUGUCAUAUAUGUAACUUUAAAGUUGUUGGCUUUGAAUAAACCAAACACUUGAAGGGC